CAUGGAUUUAAGCUUCAUAUAUAAAGGAAUACCCUUUUAUUAGAA
This 45-nucleotide transfer RNA is filed under the name Simulium piperi. RNAcentral's name for it is "partial tRNA-Leu". The record is from RNAcentral. Lineage: Eukaryota; Metazoa; Arthropoda; Insecta; Diptera; Simuliidae. RNAcentral also lists the same sequence under 10 other names.